Molecule: ribosomal RNA, 657 nt
Filed under: uncultured bacterium
Lineage: Bacteria
Description: bacterial SSU rRNA
Rfam family: Bacterial small subunit ribosomal RNA
Source: RNAcentral
GAGACAUAUGUUGAAUUGAAUCAUUCGAGCAGCGGACGGGUGAGUAAAGCACAAGGACUUGUCCGAAAGAGAGGGACACCUGCGGGAAACCGGAGCUAAUACCUCAUAAGCCGGAAGGUGAAAAGCAGAGAUGCGCUUUUGGAGAGACUUGUGUCCUAUCAGGCAGUUGGUGAGGUGAAAGCUCACCAAACCGAAGACGGGUAGCCGGACUGAGAGGUCGACCGGCCACAUUGGAACUGAGAGACGGUCCAGACUCCUACGGGAGGCAGCAGUGGGGAAUAUUGGGCAAUGGGCGGAAGCCUGACCCAGCGACGCCGCGUGAGGGAAGACAGCCUUCGGGUUGUAAACCUCUGUUGCAGGGGAAGAAGGAAGUGACGGUACCCUGCGAGGAAGCUCCGGCUAACUACGUGCCAGCAGCCGCGGUAAUACGUAGGGAGCGAGCGUUGUCCGGAAUUACUGGGCGUAAAGGGCGCGUAGGCGGCGCUUCAAGUCGUCUGUCAAAUGGAAGGGCUUAACCCUUUUUCGCAGACGAAACUGGAGAGCUUGAGAAGCAGAGAGGCAAACAGAAUUCCUGGUGUAGCGGUGAAAUGCGUAGAUAUCAGGAAGAAUACCAGUGGCGAAGGCGGUUUGCUGGCUGCAUACUGACGCUGAAGCGCG